CCUACGGGUGGCAGCAGUGAGGAAUAUUGGUCAAUGGGCGGGAGCCUGAACCAGCCAAGCCGCGUGAGGGAAGAAGGUACAGCGUAUCGUAAACCUCUUUUGUCAGGGAACAAAGGCGGGGACUAGUCCCCGGAUGAGGGUACCUGAAGAAAAAGCAUCGGCUAACUCCGUGCCAGCAGCCGCGGUAAUACGGAGGAUGCGAGCGUUGUCCGGAUUUAUUGGGUUUAAAGGGUGCGCAGGCGGCCUGUUAAGUCAGCGGGAAAAGCCCGGGGCUCAACCCCGGCGAGCCGUUGAAACUGGCGGGCUGGAGUUGGAGAGAAGUACGCGGAAUGCGCGGUGUAGCGGUGAAAUGCUUAGAUAUCGCGCAGAACCCCGAUUGCGAAGGCAGCGUACCGGCUCCACACUGACGCUGAGGCACGAAAGCGUGGGUAUCGAACAGGAUUAGAUACCCUAGUAGUC
Molecule: ribosomal RNA, 459 nt
Filed under: uncultured bacterium
Lineage: Bacteria
Description: partial 16S ribosomal RNA
Rfam family: Bacterial small subunit ribosomal RNA
Source: RNAcentral